GACUCCAAUCGAGGUUGAGUG
RNAcentral lists this unclassified non-coding RNA (21 nucleotides) under Dictyostelium discoideum. Lineage: Eukaryota; Evosea; Eumycetozoa; Dictyosteliales; Dictyosteliaceae. The record is from RNAcentral.